GACGAACGCUGGCGGCGUGCUUAACACAUGCAAGUCGAACGGAAAGGCCCUGCUUUUGUGGGGUGCUCGAGUGGCGAACGGGUGAGUAACACGUGAGUAACCUGCCCUUGACUUUGGGAUAACUUCAGGAAACUGGGGCUAAUACCGGAUAGGAGCUCCUGCUGCAUGGUGGGGGUUGGAAAGUUUCGGCGGUUGGGGAUGGACUCGCGGCUUAUCAGCCUGUUGGUGGGGUAGUGGCUUACCAAGGCUUUGACGGGUAGCCGGCCUGAGAGGGUGACCGGCCACAUUGGUACUGAGAUACGGCCCAGACCCCUACGGGAGGCAGCAGUGGGGAAUAUUGCACAAUGGGCGGAAGCCUGAUGCAGCAACGCCGCGUGCGGGAUGACGGCCUUCGGGUUGUAAACCGCUUUCGCCUGUGACGAAGCGUGAGUGACGGUAAUGGGUAAAGAAGCACCGGCUAACUACGUG
Molecule: ribosomal RNA, 468 nt
Filed under: uncultured bacterium
Lineage: Bacteria
Description: partial 16S ribosomal RNA
Rfam family: Bacterial small subunit ribosomal RNA
Source: RNAcentral